UUUAACAAUAUUAGUUCAGUCAGUAAUAUUGAAUUUUCCAUUAGCUUUCAUGAAAUAGGCGUCUACGAUUUACCUACGAUGAUUACACUUAUUACAAAUAUGAGAUCACAACCAUUGCACGCGUACAUUGGUCAUUCUAUGGGCGAAUCUGUUUUUUUACGUAAUGGCAACAGAGCGUCCAAAAAUUGCUAGAAUUGUAAAAAUGAUGUCCAGUCUCGGACCAGAAGUUUUUUUAGAUCAUAUGAGAGGUCCACUACGAUCGAUGUUUUAUUUGGUGAAAAAGAUGCAGCCAAUAAUUCGAGUUUUGUUCCAUGAUGAAUUAAUCCCACGAAAAGUUUUUGAAACGGCAAUGGCAUUAAUCGGCAGCAACCCAAAUUUCCUUCUAUCGCAGAUGUGCGCUAUUUUCAUAUUUUCAGUCUUCGGUUACGACCGUGAGCAGUUUACUUACGUGAGUAAUAACUGACCAGUAUUGCGAGUUUUGUUUCAUGACGAAUUAUUUUCGGAAGCUGCUUCCAGCACACUAAUAAUAUUAAUGGGGUGCAACUUGAAUUUUUUUCGAGAAGAGUUGUGCGCCAAUAAUCUCGUAUUUAUGCCCUACGGUUACG
Nylanderia fulva is the source of this 605-nucleotide non-coding RNA. The record is from RefSeq and is a predicted model, not a curated record. NCBI's taxonomy places the organism in Eukaryota, Metazoa, Arthropoda, Insecta, Hymenoptera, Formicidae.